UACGUAGGGGGCAAGCGUUGUCCGGAAUCAUUGGGCGUAAAGAGCGUGUAGGCGGCCUGAUAAGUCCGCUGUGAAAGUCCAGGGCUCAACCCUGGAAUGCCAGUGGAAACUGUCGGGCUGGAGUCCGGAAGAGGCGAAUGGAAUUCCUGGUGUAGCGGUGAAAUGCGCUGAUAUCAGGAGGAACACCGAUUGCGAAGGCAGCUCGCUGGGACGUAACUGACGCUGAGACGCGAAAGCGUGGGGAGCAAACAGG
Molecule: ribosomal RNA, 253 nt
Filed under: uncultured bacterium
Lineage: Bacteria
Description: partial 16S ribosomal RNA
Rfam family: Bacterial small subunit ribosomal RNA
Source: RNAcentral